AGCAGCCGCGGUAAUUCCAGCUCCAAUAGCGUAUAUUAAAGUUGUUGCAGUUAAAAAGCUCGUAGUUGAAUUUCGGGGUCUGUCCGUCGGUCGGGCUUCACGGUCCGUACUGGUGUGAUGGGUUCCUACCUUCUGAAUAACCGGCAUGCCAUUCAGUUGGUGCGCCGGGGAAGCAGAGCUAUUACCUUGAAAAAAUUAGAGUGCUUAAAGCAGGCUAGUGCUUGAAUAGAUUAGCAUGGAAUAAUAAAAUAGGACGGCAUGGUUUUAUUUUGUUGGUUUCUAGGAUCACCGUAAUGAUUAAUAGGGAUAGUUGGGGGCAUUAGUAUUCAAUUGUCAGAGGUGAAAUUCUUGGAUUUAUUGAAGACUAACUUCUGCGAAAGCAUUUGCCAAGGAUGUUUUCAUUAAUCAAGAACGAAAGUUAGGGGAUCGAAGACGAUCAGAUACCGUCGUAGUCUUAACCAUAAACUAUGCCGACUAGGGAUCGGGCGAUGUUAAUUUUUUAAUGACUUUCGCGGCGCCU
RNAcentral lists this ribosomal RNA (520 nucleotides) under uncultured Acaulospora. Its description in RNAcentral is "SSU rRNA". It matches the Rfam family "Eukaryotic small subunit ribosomal RNA", at positions 569 to 1088 of the family's 1831-position model. Lineage: Eukaryota; Fungi; Glomeromycota; Glomeromycetes; Diversisporales; Acaulosporaceae. The record is from RNAcentral.